GGUGCCUUGGCCGAGCGGUUAGGCAACGGUCUGCAAAACCGUCUACACCGGUUCAAAUCCGGUAGGUACCU
Molecule: transfer RNA, 71 nt
Filed under: Candidatus Opitulatrix roisinitermitis
Lineage: Bacteria; Bacillati; Actinomycetota; Actinomycetes; Bifidobacteriales; Bifidobacteriaceae
Description: tRNA-Cys
Rfam family: tRNA
About the family: Transfer RNA (tRNA) molecules are approximately 80 nucleotides in length. Their secondary structure includes four short double-helical elements and three loops (D, anti-codon, and T loops). Further hydrogen bonds mediate the characteristic L-shaped molecular structure. tRNAs have two regions of fundamental functional importance: the anti-codon, which is responsible for specific mRNA codon recognition, and the 3' end, to which the tRNAs corresponding amino acid is attached (by aminoacyl-tRNA synthetases). tRNAs cope with the degeneracy of the genetic code in two manners: having more than one tRNA (with a specific anti-codon) for a particular amino acid; and 'wobble' base-pairing, i.e. permitting non-standard base-pairing at the 3rd anti-codon position.
Source: RNAcentral